GACGAACGCUGGCGGUAUGCCUAACACAUGCAAGUCGAACGAGAUCUUUUUUCUUUGCGUUCGCGUAACGAUGAAAAAGAUUGCAGUGGCGGACGGGUGAGGAACACGUAAGAACUUACCUUUUGGCGGGGGAUAACAUCGGGAAACUGUUGCUAAUACCCCAUAAUGCUGAGGAGCGAAAGGGAAACUGCCAAAAGAGAGGCUUGCGUCUGAUUAGCUAGUUGGCGGAGGUAAAUGCUCCCCAAGGCGACGAUCAGUAGCUGGUCUGAGAGGAUGAUCAGCCACACUGGGACUGAGACACGGCCCAGACACCUACGGAUGGCUG
Molecule: ribosomal RNA, 325 nt
Filed under: uncultured cyanobacterium
Lineage: Bacteria; Bacillati; Cyanobacteriota
Description: bacterial SSU rRNA
Rfam family: Bacterial small subunit ribosomal RNA
Source: RNAcentral